CUCGAAGCAACGAGAAAAAACUCGAAGUAACGAGAAAAUUAUUGAAAUAACGAGAAAAUUAUUGAAAAAACGAGAAAAUACUCGAAGUAACGAGCACAUAAUCGAAGCAACAAGAAUUGUAGCAGGAAAAAAUAUUUGUGCUACAAAAGUGGCAGCAUUAGGCUUUCGUAAUACAGUAACA
Long non-coding RNA from Haliotis rubra (blacklip abalone), 181 nucleotides. RefSeq lists it as uncharacterized. NCBI's taxonomy places the organism in Eukaryota, Metazoa, Mollusca, Gastropoda, Lepetellida, Haliotidae. The transcript has 3 exons. The record is from RefSeq and is a predicted model, not a curated record.